CAUCAGUAUAGUGACCUCCUGGCAGCAGGGACCACCAGGUUGAACAGGCCUGGAUUGGAAGUCCAGUGGGUCAAAACCCUCAUGCUCAGCAGCCCCAGGAUCACAUGUGAGUGCCCACUGCCCUCCAG
RNAcentral lists this small RNA (128 nucleotides) under Cervus elaphus hippelaphus. Lineage: Eukaryota; Metazoa; Chordata; Mammalia; Artiodactyla; Cervidae. The record is from RNAcentral.